Molecule: long non-coding RNA, 1817 nt
Organism: Cyprinus carpio carpio
Lineage: Eukaryota; Metazoa; Chordata; Actinopteri; Cypriniformes; Cyprinidae
Source: Ensembl
ACUGUUGUUGUUUUGCCUUUAGCCACCCUUAUACAAUCUUGGACACACCCCUGCUUUGGAUCCUGGUGUGUAUCAGAAACAUGCAUUUCUUUCACUUCAGAAGAUGAAUACAGAUGCUGACGUUGUUUCGGCUUGGAUUAAUUGAUAGUUUUUUAAAAUAACCAUUUUUUUUGUUCACAGCACAGUUAAGCAGUCCAGUCAGAGAGCAAUGGAACUGGAUAGAAGAGCGAUGGAACUGGAUAGAAGAGCAAUGGAACUGGAUAGAAGAGAGAUGGAACCGAAGACAAGAGCUCCUACGUGUUGUGGUUGCUGCUUCAUUCAAAUAGCAUCAGAGAAAAGAGAUGAAUCUACUAACAUAAUCAAUUCACAAGUUAGUACUGAAAACACAUCACAUACUGAAGGUAGGUUAAGUUUGACUUUCAAGUCAGGCAUUCUGUAACCUAUCAGACCCUCACACUCACCAGACUUCUGAUCACUGUAAUGUCUGUUUUGGGUUUUGUUUCAUGUUCAUGUUUUCAUGUCUUUUAUUUUGUUAUUGUUUGAUUUUGCUGUUUGUGUCAUGCUUCCCUUGCCCUCAUGUAUCUCUGCUUUGUGUAUGUGUCAUGUUCUCAUUGGUUAUUGUCUGGUCAUGUGAUUAUCAGUUGUGUUUGUUCUCAUUGGUUGCUUUAGUCAUGUGUCUUGUUCCCAUUGGUUUGCUCUUGUCAUGUGACCCUCAUUGUUUGUAUAAGUAGUCAUGUUUUUGUCAUUAGCGCUUGUCGUGUAUUAACGUUGUAACCUGCUAUCGGUAAGUCAAGUCAAGUCAAGUCAAGUCAAGUCAAGUCAAGUCAAGUCAAGUCAAGUCAAGUCAAGUCAAGUCAAGUCUUUGUUUACUGUUUGGAUUAUAUUUGGAUUUUGGAUUGUACCAUUGUGAAUAAAACUGCACUUGGGUUCAUCGCUACGCUUGCCUUCAGUGGACAGAAUACACGACCCUAAAAAUGAACCCAGCAGUUGUUCGUCUCCUGCGUCUUAGCCAAGGAAACCAGGCCAUUGAGGACUAUGUGGAGGACUUUUGUGGUUUGUGUCAUCUGGUGGAUUUUAAUGAUGUGGCCCUUAAGGACAUAUUUCGGGUGGGUCUUAAUGAGCCCAUUUGCUCUCAGCUUCCUGGGGGAAAAAUUCACUGGUCCCUGGAGGAAUAUAUUGACCAUGCUCUUUUCCUGGCUGGUUCAUCAUUUACUGUGGGGAUUGCUGAUGAGGAACACAGCUAUCCCACAGUACCCGCCACAUCAGAACUUUUCCACGUCCCAACCGUCAUGUCAGGAGUUGUUCACGUCACGCCAGCCAAGCCAAGGCCUACUCACACCAUGUCUGCCAAGCCACAGCCUGCUCACGUCAUGCCUGCCAAGCCAGCACCUGUUCACGUCAUGCCUGCUACGCCAGAGCCUACUCACAUCUUAAUAUGUUGUGUUAUUCUAUUAUAUAUAUAAUGUUAAUUACUCAAUAUGGUAUUAUCUUGUUUAAACUAUUAUGUAUGACUAUGAAAGUAAUCAAUAUACUGAUCAAUAUGCUGAAUUAUUCCCAAAUACUCUUUGGCUGUAUAAAGGCCCUCCCAUUGGGUAGUACUGCUAGUUUUCCAUUGAACUGCACCUGUUAACUGAAGUAACACUAUGACUUUGGGUGAGUUCCAGAAGUUGACAGAUUUGAUGAAUGUGUUCUGGGAUCACUGCCUACCAGUAGUAGGUGGCAAAAUGAAAGUUUUCUUAAAAAUGGUUGAUAAGGCCAAGUUUCACCAAUAAAAAAUGGACCAGCUGGGCAAGUAAUAAAUUGUGGAAAACCAGACA